AGUGAACGCUGGCGGUAGGCCUAACACAUGCAAGUCGAACGGCAGCACAGUAAGAGCUUGCUCUUACGGGUGGCGAGUGGCGGACGGGUGAGGAAUACAUCGGAAUCUACUUUUUCGUGGGGGAUAACGUAGGGAAACUUACGCUAAUACCGCAUACGACCUACGGGUGAAAGCAGGGAUCUUCGGACCUUGCGCGAUUGAAUGAGCCGAUGUCGGAUUAGCUAGUUGGCGGGGUAAAGGCCCACCAAGGCGACGAUCCGUAGCUGGUCUGAGAGGAUGAUCAGCCACACUGGAACUGAGACACGGUCCAGACUCCUACGGGAGGCAGCAGUGGGGAAUAUUGGACAAUGGGCGCAAGCCUGAUCCAGCCAUACCGCGUGGGUGAAGAAGGCCUUCGGGUUGUAAAGCCCUUUUGUUGGGAAAGAAAAGCAGCAGGUUAAUACCCCGCUGUUCUGACGGUACCCAAAGAAUAAGCACCGGCUAACUUCGUG
Molecule: ribosomal RNA, 491 nt
Filed under: uncultured bacterium
Lineage: Bacteria
Description: partial 16S ribosomal RNA
Rfam family: Bacterial small subunit ribosomal RNA
Source: RNAcentral